Long non-coding RNA from Fukomys damarensis (Damara mole-rat), 1843 nucleotides. The record is from Ensembl. Lineage: Eukaryota; Metazoa; Chordata; Mammalia; Rodentia; Bathyergidae.
GAUAAGGUUAGCAUCCUCACCGCCAUCAUCAUCAUCACCGUCAUCACCACCUCACUGCAUAAUGCCCAUGAAUAGUGCCAUGCUCUAUGAUGCUAAGGACAGAGCACAGAAGGCAGACCACUCCUACUCAUACGGCCCAAUAGCAAAACAUCCUUUUAGUUUCAAAGGUUUGCAUUAAUUUUAAUUUGCUUUUGUACUAAGAUUAGCAGACAAGCCAAUCUUCUUCUUUCACAUAUUGGAAAAAUUAGUCUUCAGAAUUUUAAAAUGGAGUUAAUAGGAUCAGAUGUUUAGUGCCCUACAUUGCUGACCUAGUUUAUCUUCUUUCUCUUCAGUUUCCUUGUAAUUAUGAACAGUUACAGCUGCCUGUGACUUCAAAAAGCAAUGCUUAUGAUUCUGGAAAGUGGCAUUUUAAGUUUCACGUUGGCCAUGGACUUUCUAGCCAGCAUACCUGAAUGCACUGUUUGCUCAGUCAGCCCUGACUUUGCACUUUCUGCUUCCCCAAAGGCAAUGCCUGCCUACUCUCUAUUUUCAUCUCCACACAGGCUCAGAUGUUAUCUCUAUGAACACUCCAUGUAUGACUCCUUGCUUCUUGGCUUUUCUCCUGAGGUCAUCUGUAUGUGUACGAUCACUUGGAACUUAGUGAAUAUAAUGUGGAAUUUCUUGAUUUGAAGUGUUCCACCAUCGAUGAGCAUUUUCUUCAUUGGAUUUUCCAAAAACGAUAAUCAAAGCACAAUUUUCACCUUCUCUGCCAUAAACUAUGCUAUGCCAAAUUCCGGAAAGGAAGAAUUAAGGGAAUUAUUUAUUGUCCAAGUGAUUAAUAGAAUUGAGCAGUAACUUCCUCUGGUCAACGUCAUUUCACUCAGGAAAGCCCAUAGGUGUUAGAUUCUGGAGAUGUAUCAGCAUUUGCAUACUGCUUUUAAUGACUUCAAGCUACUAUAACAAAACAUCUUAGACUGAGUCAUUUACAAACAACAGAAAUGUAUUGUUUGGGAUUCUGGAGCUCGAGAAUUCUCAGAUCAAGGCAACAGCAGAUCUGGUGUCUGUCUGGUGUUCUGCUUUGGCAGUAGCACUUUGUCGUUGCAUCGUCACAUGAUGGAAACAGGAAGGGAGUGUGCUACAGCCUUUUCCCUUUCUUGAAGAUGGCACCAUCCUGACUUAAUCACUUCCCACAGACCUACCUCUGAAUAUUGUCAUAUUAGGGAUUAUGCUCCAAUAAAUGAAUGGAAGAGGUAGACCGACCUUCAUUCCAUAGCAAUAUCUACAAAGUUAAUUUCUAGUGAGCAACACACUAUACAAUUUCCUAAUUAAACAAGACACAGUUGUAUUAGGAAAAUCCUUUAAAUUAAGGGGGAAAAAGAACAUUAGACUUCUGUUCAAAGGCUGGGGACUCAUGCAAUAUCACUGAAGGCUAGAGCAAUGGGUACAAAAGAACACUGGGUAUUGAAUAAAAGGCCUGGUUUAGGCAUCAUGACCAUCUCGGGCUUAUGAAUUUGACUGUUUUCUGCAAGUCUUUGUUCUUUAUCAUCUAAAUAAUAGAUGUAAUAGGCGAGAAAGGUAUUUGCUCUUCUCCAACUCACUGUUGAAAGGAUAAGCAUUCAAAAGCAUUUUAAAAUAGAUAAAAACUUUGUACAGUCCUUAGACCUUGAGAACUACAUUUGUGAGCCAUUGUUUUUGUAGCUAUCUGACUGACAUUUACUUUUGUUAUGACAAAAUUAGUUGUCUCACUUCAUUUGUUUUUUCAACAUACUGCAGAUUUUUCCUCUUUCAUUAUUGAGAAAUUGCUGUUCAGGUACCUGUCUCUUUAUGUGUAAUUAUUUAUUUAUCUCUAUUGCAUUUGACCAAC